ACUAAAUACUUCCUUAAUCUACCUAUAUUGUAUGGGAACUUCGGGGGUUUGAGGUGUAGUGGUAGGUAAGGUAAUGAUGCCCCAAUACAGUCCUUCCCCCAUUCCAAUAUUUCUCCCUUUGUCCAGUCGAUACGAGGAUUGUGCUAACUAAGCCAAGGAAAUCCUAACAUGAUGGGACAAGAAGAAGAAUAAAUUAUUUGAAAUGUUAUCUCCUCCUUGUGUAAGGCCCCAAUAGAAAUGUUAAUGGGCAAGGUUUUGUGGGUGAUUAAGGGUGAGAUAGAGGUCUCCGAUCAAUAACCU
Pelobates cultripes (western spadefoot toad) is the source of this 300-nucleotide non-coding RNA. NCBI's taxonomy places the organism in Eukaryota, Metazoa, Chordata, Amphibia, Anura, Pelobatidae. The record is from the annotation of a GenBank genome assembly.